GUGAGGAAUAUUGCGCAAUGGGCGAAAGCCUGACGCAGCGACGCCGCGUGGAGGAUGAAGGUCUUCGGAUUGUAAACUCCUGUCUAGUGGGACGAAUGUCGCGAGGGCAAACAACCCUCGCGGUUGACGGUACCGCUGGAGGAAGCCCCGGCUAACUCCGUGCCAGCAGCCGCGGUAAUACGGAGGGGGCCAGCGUUGUUCGGAAUCAUUGGGCGUAAAGGGCGCGUAGGCGGCUACUCAAGUCGGACGUGAAAUCCCCCGGCUCAACCGGGGAACUGCGUCCGAUACUGUGUGGCUCGAGUCCCGGAGAGGGUAGUGGAAUUCCCAGUGUAGCGGUGAAAUGCGUAGAUACUGGGAGGAACACCGGUGGCGAAGGCGGCUACCUGGACGGGUACUGACGCUGAGGCGCGAAAGCCAGGGGAGCAAACAGGAUUAGAAACCCGAGUAGUCC
This 451-nucleotide ribosomal RNA is filed under the name uncultured bacterium. Its description in RNAcentral is "bacterial SSU rRNA". It matches the Rfam family "Bacterial small subunit ribosomal RNA", at positions 354 to 796 of the family's 1533-position model. The record is from RNAcentral.